Molecule: non-coding RNA, 84 nt
Organism: Polyodon spathula (Mississippi paddlefish)
Lineage: Eukaryota; Metazoa; Chordata; Actinopteri; Acipenseriformes; Polyodontidae
Product: small Cajal body-specific RNA 18
Exons: 1
Source: RefSeq, a predicted model, not a curated record
UGGUCAAUGAUGACUAGCCCACUGCGCAAUCUGAAUUCCAAGGUGAACCUGAUGGAACUAGUGCUGUUGCAAAAGCUGAGACCA